CCUACGGGUGGCUGCAGUGGGGAAUUUUGGACAAUGGGGGCAACCCUGAUCCAGCCAUGCCGCGUGAGUGAAGAAGGCCUUCGGGUUGUAAAGCUCUUUCGGUGGGAACGAAACGGUCACGGCCAAUACCCGUGACUACUGACGGUACUCACAGAAGAAGCACCGGCUAACUACGUGCCAGCAGCCGCGGUAAUACGUAGGGUGCGAGCGUUAAUCGGAAUUACUGGGCGUAAAGGGUGCGCAGGCGGUCUCGUAAGCUGGGUGUGAAAGCCCCG
RNAcentral lists this ribosomal RNA (275 nucleotides) under uncultured Nitrosospira sp. RNAcentral's name for it is "partial 16S ribosomal RNA". It matches the Rfam family "Bacterial small subunit ribosomal RNA", at positions 338 to 605 of the family's 1533-position model. The record is from RNAcentral. Lineage: Bacteria; Pseudomonadati; Pseudomonadota; Betaproteobacteria; Nitrosomonadales; Nitrosomonadaceae.